RNAcentral lists this ribosomal RNA (523 nucleotides) under uncultured archaeon. RNAcentral describes it as "bacterial SSU rRNA". It matches the Rfam family "Archaeal small subunit ribosomal RNA", at positions 325 to 849 of the family's 1478-position model. The record is from RNAcentral.
ACGGGGUGCAGCAGGCGCGAAACCUUUACAAUGCACGAAAGUGUGAUAAGGGAACUCCCAAGUGCUCAUGCUUCGCAUGGGCUUUUGCCAAGAGUAAAUAUCUUGGAGAAUAAGUGAUGGGUAAGACUGGUGCCAGCAGCCGCGGUAACACCAGCGUCACGAGUGGGAAUCACAAUUAUUGGGCCUAAAGCGUUCGUAGCCUGUUUAGUAAAUCUUUUGUGAAAUCGUUGGGCUUAACCUAACGGCGUGCAGAAGACACUGCUAGACUUGGGACCAGAAGGAGUCAGAAGUAUUGUCGGGGGAGCGGUAAAAUGCUAUAAUCCUGAUAAGACUACCUGUGGCGAAGGCGUCUGACUAGUAUGGAUCCGACGGUGAGGGACGAAGGCCAGGGGAGCGAACCGGAUUAGAUACCCGAGUAGUCCUGGCAGUAAACGCUGCGAGCUAGGUGUUGUGUAUUCUACAUGGAUGCGCAGUAUCGAAGCGAAGGCGAUAAGCUCGCCGCCUGGGAAGUACGUCGCAAGAC